This 253-nucleotide ribosomal RNA is filed under the name uncultured bacterium. RNAcentral's name for it is "partial 16S ribosomal RNA". It matches the Rfam family "Bacterial small subunit ribosomal RNA", at positions 524 to 776 of the family's 1533-position model. The record is from RNAcentral.
GACGUAGGGUGCGAGCGUUGUCCGGAUUUAUUGGGCGUAAAGAGCGUGUAGGCGGCUAGGUAGGUCCGUUGUGAAAACUCGAGGCUUAACCUCGAGAUGUCAUCGGAAACCAUUUGGCUAGAGUCCGGAAGAGGAGAGUGGAAUUCCUGGUGUAGCGGUGAAAUGCGCAGAUAUCAGGAAGAACACCAAUGGCGAAAGCAGCUCUCUGGGACGGUACUGACGCUGAGACGCGAAAGCGUGGGGAGCGAACAGG